UCGAUAUAUUUUUUCUGUGUGUUUCGCUAGCACCGCGGCGCUGCUCGCUCUGUGGUUCCACUUCCUCCCACUGCGGCGGGGAGAGCCUUGUAAAACCCGGGGCGGGUCAUCGCCGGCUGGAGCCGGAGCGCGUUACCUGCUGAUUUGGACCUCUUUUUCUUUCUGUCAGUGGUGAUUUACAGUGGGAAUAGCAUCGACCAGUCUGCAUGGGCUACAGGAAACCAGAGGGGGGCUACUUGAGAAAGAGAGGACGACACAUUUAGGCCUAUUUGAACUGGAUAAGCCUCACUGCAGCACACUUAGCAGACAGACAGGCUUCACUCAUCCCCGCCGGUGUGUGUCUGUAUUGAAUAAGUUGUUUUUCACAUUGAAUCUGCAUGUUCACGAAGCAGCAGCCUCUGAUAAAUGGCAUUACAGCACAGUAACUGAUUUUCUAUAGGAUGCUUAAGUGAGCUGGAUGUGUGGUUUCGGUGGAAACGCAGUGCCGUUUCCUGGCCAGCAAUGGUACUGCUCCUCAUACACUGCGAUGGUGGAGGCCUGCAGGCUGCAGGAGGCCCACACAGCAGAUAACACCAUGUUUCAUAAACAGGGAUGUUUUAUAGUUUGGCUGUGCAGAAAAAGCAUGCCAGACCAGUGGUGGAAGAAGAUCUUAGAUCCUUUACUUGAGUAACAAUCUGAGCUGAAACUGUUAGUUGGUCAACAUAAAAUGAAUCUGCAAUCAAUGUUUU
Siniperca chuatsi (mandarin fish) is the source of this 728-nucleotide long non-coding RNA. RefSeq lists it as uncharacterized. The record is from RefSeq and is a predicted model, not a curated record. Lineage: Eukaryota; Metazoa; Chordata; Actinopteri; Centrarchiformes; Sinipercidae. The transcript has 2 exons.